Molecule: long non-coding RNA, 1001 nt
Organism: Mugil cephalus (flathead mullet)
Lineage: Eukaryota; Metazoa; Chordata; Actinopteri; Mugiliformes; Mugilidae
Exons: 3
Source: RefSeq, a predicted model, not a curated record
CUAAAACCACUCUGAGUGGAGAACAGCAUUUUAAACAACAACAUUUAUCUGAGAAAAGGAGUCAUCACAGAGAAGAAUCUGACGACUUUAAACCUGAACCCAGCUGUGUGUCUAUGAAGAGUGAUCGAUCAAAGGAUGACCUCAUUAACUUUAAAAGACAAGAACCCUCAACUGUGAAGAAGAAGCAGCUGAAACCUGAACCCAGCUGUGUGUCUAUGAAGAGUGAUCACUCAAAGGAUGACCUCAUUAACUUUAAAAGACAAGAACCUUCAACUGUGAAGAAGUAAGUUAUGAAUUAAUGUAAAAUUAACAUCAUGGUCAGAUGUACUUCUGAGUAAAUCCUGCUACUAUAGAGCCACAAUACGUCUCUCCUGAACUAACUGUGGAAAAUUCAUGUUUUCAUCAUCGACUGGUAAAACAAGCAGCACCUUUAGACUAGGUUACUGUGUGAUGUCAGAGGCUUUCUAGGUUUAUGUAUGUGAUAAUAUUCCAGUUGGACUUUAAGUUAAGUUUCAUUUGUUGAUUGUUUAAAUCUGAUAAACUGAGGAUUUCUCUUCAUCUACCAGGAUACAACAGAAACCAGACUCACAAGAACCAAAACAUGAACCCAGCUCGAAGAAGAGAAAUUCGUUGUUUAAUUUUAAAAGGAAAUUAUCUGCUUCAAUGAAGUAAGACAUUAAUUAAUUUACAAAGUCGCUGAUUUUGUGGUAAAGUGAUAAAAUAACGGCUGUUUGGAAAGUCAGAUGAUUGAGACAUGUGGACUUUCUGUGAUCCUCAGUCAUCAGGUUUAGAAUUGAUCAGUGGUUUCUCCUCUUUAUUAAUGUCACAGUAGAGAUUAUUCUGAUCAGAACAUUCACUACACAACACACUAUCAUUAACUCUCUGUGGUUUAUGUUUGACAGGAAAAACAAACAUUGAUUACAGAUGGUGGAGACAAUAAUGUAGACUAAUUGUUGAUUAUUCAUUCACAGGGUGGAGCAGCAGAGUUUAAAUGUUCUCAG